Pogonomyrmex barbatus (red harvester ant) is the source of this 818-nucleotide long non-coding RNA. The record is from RefSeq and is a predicted model, not a curated record. NCBI's taxonomy places the organism in Eukaryota, Metazoa, Arthropoda, Insecta, Hymenoptera, Formicidae.
GCUAGAGGUCCUGGAUUCGAUUCCCGGCAGAGCCAAAAUAUUUACGCUUUUCUUCUCUCGGAAGGCAGCGGCAAUCCACCGAAGUAACUUUGCCAUGAACGUCUCUCUACCAAAAUUUGCCGUUCAGAAUCGGCGUUAAAUUAUAGGUCCCAUACACCUGUGUAUAUCAUCGUACGCACCACAGAGAGAAGUCUUUUUGAUUUUCACGCAGAAUAAGCGAGGAGUUUGUGACGAGACACCGUGUUUUGGAAGAAAGAAUAAAGUCGUUUUCAUAUUGAGAUAAUUAUUCGUUCACUGCCUCGACGGAGGUGCAUCCCGUGACGCCAUCACGAUAAUCGUCGUACCCCGAGGGUGUCCGAGAUCGUCUGUAGAGACUCGACCCAAUAUCGGAGCGUGGAGAACGAUUUGGAACUAUCGAAAGAAACUAUCCUUGGAAGCUCUCGUGCGCCCGGACAAGAACUCGACAUUGGUCCUUCGAGCCGGAUGCGUUCGGGAAGACGAUUUUGAGGAGUUUUGAGGGCCCUAGUAAUCGUAGACUCGUGAUUGAGCAACGAUUAUUUCAAGGCGUUUUUAGAAUGGUCUUGACAAGGUGACGCAGCAGUGUGGUUUAACAAGUAAACUAACGAGAGCGAGUAACGUAUAACAAAAUUAUCAGAUUAAUGCAGAUUCUCUCGAAUUAAUAUUUUUGCGGAUAAGCCUACGUAAGUAAAUUAUUUUUAACGAUCGCACUGUAUAAGCCGUUAUAGAAUUUAAACAUGGCAGAAGAACUUGUUGUGUUGAUUAGAAGACGGUCGAUAAUAAAAGAUCACACGUAUUUA